RNAcentral lists this non-coding RNA (21 nucleotides) under Rattus norvegicus (Norway rat). Lineage: Eukaryota; Metazoa; Chordata; Mammalia; Rodentia; Muridae. The record is from RNAcentral.
UAUCUGUGCUUUCCAAUGGUC